Macrobrachium nipponense is the source of this 393-nucleotide long non-coding RNA. RefSeq lists it as uncharacterized. The record is from RefSeq and is a predicted model, not a curated record. The transcript is spliced from 3 exons. NCBI's taxonomy places the organism in Eukaryota, Metazoa, Arthropoda, Malacostraca, Decapoda, Palaemonidae.
UCAAAGUUCCAGUAAUCCUUCACUCUUCAAAUGAAGUAUGAACCGUAGGCAGGCACUCCGGAGUUUUGUUGUGUGUAGAUGAUCGCGUUGCGCCAAUUAUGAUUAUGUGAUUAUUCUAUCAUAACAUUCGUUUUUGAAAACAAUGUGCUACAGUGUUCGGCGAGGCCUUGCAGCGUCUCCCAUCGUGCAACGAAGAGGUGUUCAUCCACUGGUGUUUGUGAAAGUUCGUUGUUACGAAGCCUGAGGGGUCGAUGAAUGAAGAAUCAGGGUGUAAUGUACGUGGGACUGAUUUGCAGAAAUGUGAGUACUUCUGUGGGAUUAUUCAUUAUGUUCUGCAUGUUUUUAGGAUUUUUUGUUUGCGUUUGCCUGAUUACUUCAAUGGUCUCGCAUUCA